RNAcentral lists this ribosomal RNA (253 nucleotides) under uncultured bacterium. RNAcentral describes it as "partial 16S ribosomal RNA". It matches the Rfam family "Bacterial small subunit ribosomal RNA", at positions 524 to 776 of the family's 1533-position model. The record is from RNAcentral.
UACGUAGGGGGCAAGCGUUGUCCGGAUUUAUUGGGCGUAAAGAGCGUGUAGGCGGCCUGAAAGGUCAGCUGUGAAAACUCGAGGCUCAACCUCGAGACGUCGGUUGAAACCAUCUGGCUAGAGUCCGGAAGAGGAGUGUGGAAUUCCCGGUGUAGCGGUGAAAUGCGCAGAUAUCGGGAGGAACACCAAUGGCGAAGGCAGCUCGCUGGGACGUGACUGACGCUGAGACGCGAAAGCGUGGGGAGCAAACAGG